Molecule: ribosomal RNA, 359 nt
Filed under: uncultured bacterium
Lineage: Bacteria
Description: bacterial SSU rRNA
Rfam family: Bacterial small subunit ribosomal RNA
Source: RNAcentral
GACUCUGGGAUAACCUCGGGAAACCGAUGCUAAUACCGGAUACGACCACUUCGGACAUCCGACGGUGGUGGAAAGUUUUUCGGUCUGGGAUGGGCCCGCGGCCUAUCAGCUAGUUGGUGGGGUAAUGGCCUACCAAGGCGACGACGGGUAGCCGGCCUGAGAGGGCGACCGGCCACACUGGAACUGAGACACGGUCCAGACUCCUACGGGAGGCAGCAGUGGGGAAUAUUGCACAAUGGGCGAAAGCCUGAUGCAGCGACGCCGCGUGAGGGACGACGGCCUUCGGGUUGUAAACCUCUUUCAGCAGGGACGAAGCGAAAGUGACUGUACCUGCAGAAGAAGCACCGGCUAACUACGUG